AUGUGUGCAUGCAAGCUUGCAUGUGUGUAUAUGUAUGCGCCAGGGAAAGGGUCAUGGGUGAACUGGUGUGUGGCUGGCACAGAGACAAGGGGACCUUCCCCACAGAGCACAGCAGGAAGGAAACCCGUGGCAGGGAAGGAAUUGAAACUCAUCACAAGAUCAGGGCAAGUUGGCAGAAAGAAAUCCCCCUGCACUCAGGGAGACCUUGCUCAGCUCUCCCAGCAAUCUGCUCUCUCGAUGGAGCUUGGGGCGGGGGUGCGCCUUCCGUGUCCCAUUGCCGACAUCCCUGGGGUUCUCGGGUUUCUUGGGCAGCUUCCCAAACCAGGUGCAUCCCUCGGCAGAGGCACCCAGUGCUGGGCUGCUAGCCUUGGUGGCCUCCUCCCCUGGCUUGGCCGUGACUCCUUACACCUCCAUUUCCUGCCACAGAAGGCGAGAGGAACUGACCCUGUGCAAGUUCUAGAAGGAAGAGGGCUGCCUGCAAGUUGCCAAAUGGCAAGCGAUCUAAGAAAAGGCGCAAGAUUGGAAAGUGUUACCCAGCAAUCUAUGGAUUCUGCAGUCCACAAGUGGCUCAGGAGCACCCCCACCCCGCUCCCAGGGGAGGAGAUCGUACUUCCCAGAGCUGGACCUGCCUGACCUUCAGGUGCCGAGGUGACCCCAGCUCUCAAGGCAGACUAUUUGGACUGGUUGGGCUCCUGAGUGGUCGCAGGAGGUAGAGGGGGGUUGGGGCCCUGCCACCACUGGGAGACACAAGGCCUGGUAAGCACUGCUUCUUCCCUGCACCCCUGCUUGGAGCCAUGAAAAGCAGACCCAGUUGGUGAGUCUUGGUGUCACUCACCAUUCGGAAUGUUUGGGUUUCUGGCCUUGGGCCAGACAGCCCCUCCUACUGGAGGGGGCCCUGAGGAGCCACAUCUGGGUGCACUGUUAGCCAGGUGCUCCCCAGGGUGUUGGAUACAUACCCACUGAUGCUUCCUUCUUCCCAUCCUGCUCCCCACUCCCAACCCUAUUUGAGGAGGGGGGAGUGCUUGUUCCCGAGGCGCUUAUUUAUUUAUUAUUAUGUUUUUGGCCGUGAGGCUUGUUGGAUCUUAGCACCCCCACUAGGGAUAGAACCUGGACCCUGCGCAGUGAAAGCGCAGAGUCCUAACUGCUGGACUGCCAGGGAAGUCCCUCUGCAGGUGUUUAGCAAUCUCUGGGGAAGGAGGAGGCAGGAGAGCACUGCUCAUGGACUUCCCUGGUGGUCUGGUGGUUAAGAAUCCGCCUGACAGUGCAAGGGACAUAGGUUUGAUCCAUGUCUGGGAAGAUUCCAUAUGCCGUGUGGCAACCAAGCUCAUUCACCAUAACUACUGACCCCACGUGCUCUAGAAGCCUUGAUUGGCAACAAGAGAAGCCACGGCAAUGAGAAGCCCGUGCAUUGCAAUUAGAGAGUAGCCCUCAUUCACCACAACUAGAGAAUGCCUGCACACAGCAACAAAGACCCAGUACAGCCAAAAAUAAAUAAAAUAAAUACAUACAUAAAUUUUAAAAAGAAAUCAAC
RNAcentral lists this long non-coding RNA (1531 nucleotides) under Capra hircus (goat). Its description in RNAcentral is "lncRNA (ENSCHIG00000007992.1)". The record is from RNAcentral. Lineage: Eukaryota; Metazoa; Chordata; Mammalia; Artiodactyla; Bovidae.